Lupinus angustifolius (narrow-leaved blue lupine) is the source of this 92-nucleotide non-coding RNA. The record is from Rfam. NCBI's taxonomy places the organism in Eukaryota, Viridiplantae, Streptophyta, Magnoliopsida, Fabales, Fabaceae.
AGGUCUGUAAGCUCAAAUUGGGAGAGCGCUCAGAGCAUUCAACAACUUUUUGAUGCUCUGAGAGGAUGGUGGUUCGAAUCCACCCGGAUCUA